CCUACGGGAGGCAGCAGUGGGGAAUAUUGGGCAAUGGAGGAAACUCUGACCCAGCGACGCCGCGUGCGGGAUGAAGGCCUUCGGGCUGUAAACCGCUUCCAGUAGGGAAGAAGCGAAAGUGACGGUACCUACAAAAGAAGCACCGGCUAACUAUGUGCCAGCAGCCGCGGUAAUACAUAGGGUGCAAGCGUUGUCCGGAAUUAUUGGGCGUAAAGAGCUCGUAGGUCGUUUGUUACGUCGGAUGUGAAAACCUGAGGCUCAACCUCAGGCCUGCAUUCGAUACGGGCAAACUAGAGUUUGGUAGGGGAGACUGGAAUUCCUGGUGUAGCGGUGGAAUGCGCAGAUAUCAGGAGGAACACCAAUGGCGAAGGCAGGUCUCUGGGCCAAUACUGACACUGAGGAGCGAAAGUCUGGGGAGCGAACAGGAUUAGAUACCCUGGUAGUCCAGACCGUAAACGGUGGGCACUAGUUGUGGGAACCUUCCACGGUUUCUGCGACGCAGCUAACGCAUUAAGUGCCCCGCCUGGGGAGUACGAUCGCAAGAUUAAAACUCAAAUGAAUUGACGG
This 567-nucleotide ribosomal RNA is filed under the name uncultured bacterium. RNAcentral's name for it is "bacterial SSU rRNA". It matches the Rfam family "Bacterial small subunit ribosomal RNA", at positions 338 to 916 of the family's 1533-position model. The record is from RNAcentral.